GAUGAACGCUGGCGGCGUGCCUAAUACAUGCAAGUCGAGCGAACAGACGAGGAGCUUGCUCCUCUGACGUUAGCGGCGGACGGGUGAGUAACACGUGGAUAACCUACCUAUAAGACUGGGAUAACUUCGGGAAACCGGAGCUAAUACCGGAUAAUAUAUUGAACCGCAUGGUUCAAUAGUGAAAGACGGUUUUGCUGUCACUUAUAGAUGGAUCCGCGCCGCAUUAGCUAGUUGGUAAGGUAACGGCUUACCAAGGCAACGAUGCGUAGCCGACCUGAGAGGGUGAUCGGCCACACUGGAGCUGACAGGCGACCCAGACUCCUACGUGAGGCAGCAGUAGGGAAUCUUCCGCAAUGGGCGAAAGCCUGACGGAGCAACGCCGCGUGAGUGAUGAAGGUCUGCGGGUCGUAAAACGCUGUUAUGAGUGAAGAACAAAUUUGUAAGUAACUAUGCGCGUCUUGACGGUACCUAUACAGAAAGCCACGGCUACCUACGU
Molecule: ribosomal RNA, 496 nt
Filed under: uncultured bacterium
Lineage: Bacteria
Description: partial 16S ribosomal RNA
Rfam family: Bacterial small subunit ribosomal RNA
Source: RNAcentral